AUCAAUUUAAGAAAAUGUUACGGAUUUGACUGAUGGCAGUGUCAAGAAUCCAGUUCAGUGAGUAAGCAAGCUUUUUACAUAUAAGAAAAAGAAAAUAGAAAAGAAGUAAAAAAACAUGAGAGAAUAUUCUAAAAGGAAAAAAACAUUACAUUAGUCAAAUUCAUCAAAAUGUCAAAUUUAAAAUAAAGAAGAAAAAUCCAAACAUUAAAUUUUAGGGAAAGGGAGCUUAGCGGGGAAAUAAGUAGAGAAAGGGAU
Molecule: long non-coding RNA, 255 nt
Filed under: Gossypium raimondii (Peruvian cotton)
Lineage: Eukaryota; Viridiplantae; Streptophyta; Magnoliopsida; Malvales; Malvaceae
Description: long non-coding RNA (GRAI_LNC000512)
Source: RNAcentral